Molecule: ribosomal RNA, 903 nt
Filed under: uncultured bacterium
Lineage: Bacteria
Description: bacterial SSU rRNA
Rfam family: Bacterial small subunit ribosomal RNA
Source: RNAcentral
AGAGUUUGAUCCUGGCUCAGAACGAACGCUGGCGGCGUGGAUUAGGCAUGCAAGUCGAACGAUCCCGCAAGGGAUAGUGGCGAAAGGGUGCGUAACACGUGGGCAAUCUGCCCCCGAAACGGGAAUAACUUCGGGAAACCGAAGCUAAUACCUGAUGACACCGAGCUGCCGCAUGGUGGCACGGUGAAAGGCGUCCGCAAGGGUGCCGAUCGGGGAUGAGCCCGCGGCCUAUCGGCUAGUUGGUGAGGUAACGGCCCACCAAGGCGAUGACGGGUAGCCGGCCUGAGAGGGUGGUCGGCCACAUUGGGACUGAGACACUGCCCAGACUCCUACGGGAGGCUGCAGUCGAGGAUCUUCCGCAAUGGGGGAAACCCUGACGGAGCGACGCCGCGUGGAGGAUGAAGGCCUUCGGGUCGUAAACUCCUGUCAGUCUGGAAGAAAAUCUGCAGCAAUGUGGAUUGACCGUACAGGCAGAGGAAGCUCCGGCUAACUCCGUGCCAGCAGCCGCGGUAAUACGGAGGGAGCGAGCGUUGUUCGGAAUCAUUGGGCGUAAAGGGCAUGUAGGCGGCUCUGUAAGUCGGGUGUGAAAUCCCAUCUCUCAAGGGUGGAACGGCAUUCGAAACUGCAGGGCUUGAGUUCGGGGGAAGAGAGCGGAAUUCUCGGUGUAGCGGUGAUAUGCGUAGAUAUCGAGAAGAACACCAGCGGCGUAAGCGGCUCUCUAUCCUGAAACUGACGCUGAGGUGCGAAAGCCAGGGGAGCGAACGGGAUUAGAUACCCCGGUAGUCCUGGCCAUAAACGAUGUGCACUUGGUGUUGGGCCGCGAGGCUCAGUGCCGAAGCUAACGCAUUAAGUGCACCGCCUGGGGAGUACGACCGGAAGGUUGAAACUCAAAUGAAUUGACGG